Molecule: unclassified non-coding RNA, 430 nt
Filed under: soil metagenome
Description: partial contains 5.8S ribosomal RNA, internal transcribed spacer 2, and large subunit ribosomal RNA
Rfam family: 5.8S ribosomal RNA (bases 1-120)
Source: RNAcentral
GAUGAAGAACGUAGCGAAAUGCGAUACGUAAUGUGAAUUGCAGAAUUCAGUGAAUCAUCGAAUCUUUGAACGCAUAUUGCGCUCUCUGGUAUUCCGGAGAGCAUGCUUGUUUGAGUAUCAGUAAACACCUCAACUCCCUUUUCUUUUUUGAAAUUGGAGCUGGACUUGAGUGAUCCCAACGCUUUCUUCCAAGAAAGUGGCGGGUUGCUUGAAAUGCAGGUGCAGCUUAACUUUUCUCUGAGCUAUAAGCAUAUCUAUUUAGUCUGCCUAAAAAACAGAUUAUUACCUUUGCUGCAGCUAACAUAAAGGAGACUAGUUCUUGUGCUGACUGAUGCAGGAUUCACAGAGACAGCUUCGGCUGACUUUGUAAACUCGAUCUCAAAUCAAGUAAGACUACCCGCUGAACUUAAGCAUAUCAAUAAGCGGAGGA